UACAGAGGUCCCAAGCGUUGUUCGGAUUCACUGGGCGUAAAGGGUGUGUAGGCGGUUCUUUAAGUUUGGUGUGAAAUCUCCCGGCUCAACCGGGAGGGUGCGUCGAAUACUGAGGGACUAGAGUACGGGAGAGGAAAGUGGAAUUCCUGGUGUAGCGGUGAAAUGCGUAGAUAUCAGGAGGAACACCGGUGGUGUAGACGGCUUUCUGGACCGUAACUGACGCUGAGACACGAAAGCGUGGGUAGCAAACAGG
This 253-nucleotide ribosomal RNA is filed under the name uncultured bacterium. Its description in RNAcentral is "partial 16S ribosomal RNA". It matches the Rfam family "Bacterial small subunit ribosomal RNA", at positions 524 to 776 of the family's 1533-position model. The record is from RNAcentral.